UACCAGCACCCCGAGUGGUCGGGACGAUUAUUGGGCCUAAAGCAUCCGUAGCCGGUCUUGCAAGUCCUCCGUUAAAUCCACCUGCUUAACAGAUGGGCUGCGGAGGAUACUACAAGGCUAGGAGGCGGAAGAGGCAAGCGGUACUCAGUGGGUAGGGGUAAAAUCCUCUGAUCCAUUGAAGACCACCAGUGGCGAAGGCGGCUUGCCAAUACGCGCUCGACGGUGAGGGAUGAAAGCUGGGGGAGCAAACCGG
Molecule: ribosomal RNA, 253 nt
Filed under: uncultured bacterium
Lineage: Bacteria
Description: partial 16S ribosomal RNA
Rfam family: Archaeal small subunit ribosomal RNA
Source: RNAcentral